AUUGAACGCUGGCGGCAGGCCUAACACAUGCAAGUCGAGCGGAUGAAGGGAGCUUGCUCCUGGAUUCAGCGGCGGACGGGUGAGUAAUGCCUAGGAAUCUGCCUGGUAGUAGGGGAUAACGUCCGGAAACGGGCGCUAAUACCGCAUACGUCCUGAGGGAGAAAGUGGGGGAUCUUCGGACCUCACGCUAUCAGAUGAGCCUAGGUCGGAUUAGCUAGUUGGUGGGGUAAAGGCCUACCAAGGCGACGAUCCGUAACUGGUCUGAGAGGAUGAUCAGUCACACUGGAACUGAGACACGGUCCAGACUCCUACGGGAGGCAGCAGUGGGGAAUAUUGGACAAUGGGCGAAAGCCUGAUCCAGCCAUGCCGCGUGUGUGAAGAAGGUCUUCGGAUUGUAAAGCACUUUAAGUUGGGAGGAAGGGCAGUAAGUUAAUACCUUGCUGUUUUGACGUUACCAACAGAAUAAGCACCGGCUAACUUCGU
Molecule: ribosomal RNA, 483 nt
Filed under: uncultured bacterium
Lineage: Bacteria
Description: partial 16S ribosomal RNA
Rfam family: Bacterial small subunit ribosomal RNA
Source: RNAcentral